RNAcentral lists this long non-coding RNA (548 nucleotides) under Nicotiana tabacum (common tobacco). RNAcentral describes it as "long non-coding RNA (NTAB_LNC001689)". The record is from RNAcentral. Lineage: Eukaryota; Viridiplantae; Streptophyta; Magnoliopsida; Solanales; Solanaceae.
AAAUGUUGAUUUCUUCUCUACUGAUUGUCUGUUUCUCUCUCUAAUCUCUCUUUCUUCAACAAAUACUCGAAGUAUUAAAGAUUGCAGCUUUUGUAUUUUUUUUGGACAUGUAAAUUUCUCUAGCUAACCAAAGUCAUCUCUUUCACACCUCCCAAACUCUCCUCUCUCUCUCUCUCUCUCUCUCUCUCUACUACUAAUACACGACCUACGUAGUAAGUNNNNNNNNNNNNNNNNNNNNNNNNNACUAACAACGACNCUCUUCUCUACACCUACCACUCCUCUCUCUCUCUCUCUCUCUCUCUCUCCAUCAAUACAGCCCUAUGAAGAUUGGAGAAUCUAGCGUUAUGUUGUUGGCACUCGGGCGAGUUUGAAUUAAAAACAAAUGGGGCGGGUCAGUUGGUCCAAUAAGGGGAUGCCACGUGGAUUUUAAAAGAUGGGAGGGUAUUUUUAAUGUGUAAGGGAUAAAUAUGAACCUAAUGUAUAACGGUACGGAUAGUUUUGAUAGAAAACUUAAACGAUGGGUAAAUAAGGCAUAUUUAUGAUAGUAG